Molecule: long non-coding RNA, 6514 nt
Filed under: Lynx pardinus (Iberian lynx)
Lineage: Eukaryota; Metazoa; Chordata; Mammalia; Carnivora; Felidae
Source: RNAcentral
GGGCUGCUGGGUUCAGCAAGAGAGGGCAAGACCUGACGGGACGAGGAAGGAGAGAGAUGCGAGGGCCCGGAGCACCGGACAGAAGUCCCCCGGGUGGCUCCGGCGACCCGUGAAGCGACCACCCUCGAGAUGCGAUCCCCGGCCAGCACAGAUGCCGGACGGGAGCCCGCGCGGAUCCGGGUCGCGCACUCUCACCGACGGCCAGCGUGAUGAAGGCCACCUGGAUGAAGAGCGACAGCCAGCUCAGCACGUACAUGAACCACAUGGCGCCCCCGCCCCACCCGCCCCCCGACCGCCAGGACGGGCCUGCGCGCUUCGGCUCCGGCGACACGGAGCCGCCGCCACCGUCGCCGCGUCCCCGCCCCGCGGACAGCGGGACGACCGUACGCCGCCGCCGAGAGAAGCACGGUCGGGGCGUAGCCCCCUGCCGAAUCCGGCCUAGCGCCGCCUGCCGGCGCGGAGGACCAACCGCCGCGGCUGCGUACAGCACAGCUCUCGGGGAGCUGCAUCCCCGGGGCUGCGCCAAGGGGACGGCCGGCAACGCACGGCCGGCGACGCAGCUCGCAGAGGCAGGACUGUCCCGGGGGGCGGGGAAGCGGCGCCUGCCGGAGGGACAGCCUUCGGUGUGCUCCCUGGGCUCUCCCGCUUCCAGGGUGGAGGGGUCCAGGGCGCGAGAGGGCCGCCUGACCGCUCCCCAAACAAGCACCGACCAGAAACCUCUAGGCAGGUUUGCCUACAGCACUUUAUCUCGCUACCGCAGGUAACCGGGACACAAUUGUUGCAUGCCUAACGCGUGCCAGGCACUGUGAUUAAAGGCUACGCUGCAUUUUCGUAAUGGAAGUUGAUUGGAUGACGUAGAUCAUUUUAUGGGUAGGGAAGCUGGGGCCAAGGAAGGUUACCUUGCCUCAGGUCAUACAUCUAGGAGGCGGCACAGGCAGAAGUUGGGGCGCCUUUAAAUCAGUCAUCUUCAGGCGUAACUCUCCCUUUAGGCUGAGUUCCUUUAGGGUACUUUCUUCAGCUUUGUAUCGCCUGCACACCGCCAGUGGCUGGCACGCAAGGCGCCCAGUUGCAGCCGAAUGCAUUUACUAUCUACCAUGGAGUGAGUUACCGAGGGGGAAGAAGGAGCAGGGCAGCCCUUGUUAAGAAGUUCUCCAUCUAGUGGCCAAGACAGAUAUGCAAACUAAAGUGUGCGGGAUUCGGCCAGGCUACUCCUCUCAGAAUAACCUUUACAUGCAUAAACGUAAAUACAAAAUUAAACAUUAAUCAAAAAUUAAAUAUAGAAUUACUAUAUGGUCCAUCAAUUACACUCCUGGGUAUAUACCCCGAAAUAUUGAAAGUAAUGACUCAAAAGAGUUAUGUAUUCACCAAUGUUCACAGCAGCAUUUGGUAGGCUCCUGGAUAGGAUAGGGCUGGUCACCAGAAAGACCAAGCCAUGAUUAGAAGCUUGGAACUUUUGGUCUCAUCCCCCAUCCUCCACAGAGGUGAGAGGGGCUAGAGAUUGAGUUAAUAAUCAGUCAUGCCUCUGUGAUGAAGUCUUCCUAAAAAUCCCAAUACUGUGGGGUUCAGACGUUGGUGAAUGCAUCCCAGUGCUUGGAGGAUGGCACACCCCAACUGCACAGAGACAGAUGCUCCUGAGCUGGGGACGCUUCCAGACCUUGCCCUAUGUGCUUCUUAACCUGGCUGUUCAUCUGUAUCUUUAUAAUAUCCUUUGUAAUAAACUGGUAAAUGUAAGUAAAUGUUUCAGAGUUUUGUCAGCCAAUUACCUUUGAGUUGUCAUUUCCAAGUUUUGUCUAGCAAAUUACCCAACCUGAGGAAGGUGGUGUGGGAACCCCCUACUUUGUAGCCAAGUUGGACAGAAGCGUAGGUCCCCUGGAGACCCGUGACUGUAACUGGCAUCUGACUUGAGGGCAGUCUUGUGGGACUGAGCCCUUAAACUUGCAAAAUAUCACACCAACUCCAUGUGGUUAGUAUCAGAAUUGAAUAAAAUUAUAGGACACCAAGUCUGUGUACAGGUUGUUGGACAAUUGGUUGAUGUGAGGGGAAAAGCCCACAUGUUUGGUGUCAUAAGGGUUGUGAGUAGAGAAACAGUUUUCCUUUAUUACCACAAUGACAAAGUAUGAAUGAACGUAAAUGAUGUUUCAAAAUACCUUCAAUCAUGUGAGAGAGUUAUGGAUAUUACUAACAAGUACUAUGAGUCUGUUGCCUUUAUUCACCAUGGAGGGAAAUGUUUAGUUUCAGUUAGAGGUUAUUAGUGCAAAUAAGAUGGAAUUUUUUUCCUUCCAAUUUUCCAGGGUUCUGGAGUUGAUCUCCCUGAAUUCUGUGUCCACUGUUGACUUCUAAGGUGUCCCAAACCCCUGCUUAAGAAUUCCUGGGAAGGGGGGCCUGGGUGGCUCAGUCAGUUAAGCGUUCGGCUCAGGUGAUGAUCUCACGGUUCAUGAGUUCAAGCCCCACAGUUGGACUCUCUGCUGACAGCUGGGAGCCUGGAGCCUGCUUCCAAUUCUGUGUCUCCCUCUCUCUCUGCCCCUCCCCUGCUGUCUCUCUCUCUCUCUCUCUCAGAGAUAAAUAAACAUUUUUUUUUAAUUUUAAAAAAAGAAUUACUAAGGAAUAUGUAUAAGGGGCAGUGGGAGCUUAAAGGGCUGUGUGCCUGUUUAUAAGCCUCUUUGUUGCAGCAUGGGGAAACACUGAAAACGAAAGUUUAUUAAUAGGAAAUUGGAUAAAGUACCUUUUAAUACAUCAUAGAGUAAAGCCAUAAAAACAAAUGAGGAUGGAAUAAGUCACGGGGAUGAAAGGUACAGCAGAGGGAAUACAGUCAGUGGUAUUAUAAUAGCGUUGUAUGGUGACAGAUGGUGGCUACACUUAUGGUGAGCAGAGCAUAGCGUAUAGACUUGCUGAAAUCACGAUGUUGUAUACCUGAAACCGAUGGAACAUUGAGUGUCACCCAUACUUUAAUAAAAAAGAAAAGAGUAGAAACGAACAACAAAAAUGAGGAUAUUCUUUAUGUACCCAUGUAAGAGGGUCCCCCUUUUGAAUAAAGUAAAAGACUGGGGAAAAACAAUCUAGGUAUUCUUUAUUUAGGUAUUUCUUUACAUAAAACAUUUCUGAAAGGAUACAUUACAAAAUGAUAACAUUUAAAAAAAUGGUAACAUUAUGGGGUGCCUGGGUGGCUUAGUCGGUUAAGUGUCCGACUGUGGCUCAGGUCAUGAUCCCGUGGUUCGUGAGUUCAAGCCCCGCGUCGGGCUCUGUGCUGACGGCUCAGAGCCUGAAGCCUGCUUCGGAUUCUGUGUCUCCCUCUCUCUCUGCCCCUCCCCCGCUAUCUAUCUCUCUCUCUUUCUCUCUCCCUCUCUCUCUCUCUCUCAAAAAUGAAUAAAUAUUAAAAAAAAAUUUUUUAAUGGUAACAUUGCUUUCUUCCUAGGAAGAGAGGGUGGGGUUCAAGAGUAAGAGAGAGCCUUUCCACUGUAUGUCUUUUUGUCUUCUUAAUACAUGAAACUAUGUAAGUAUAUGUAAAAACAUUACCUAGUCAUAAAUUAAGUUUAAAAUUAAAAUGUUCAUAGGUUGCUGGAUCUUCUGGGAGGGCUCAGAUUUCCUGUUUUUACCCCAUCCCUUUGUGAGAAAAGCCACUGUGUAGUGGCUUACAGGGAAGAUGCCUAACCUUGGAUCAUGUGGCCUGGUCACCUGGGAGUUUGAAUUUGAGACACAGAUGCAUCAGUGAGUAGAGGCACAAUAAAAUAUCAAUUGUUCUUAUUUUUCCUAAAUAUUAUCUUCCCUGGGAGGGAGAAGAAUAUAAAAGUAUUCCCCCAGUCCUCCCAGAAUUAUACAUCAGGGGAAUUUGAGGGCCACAAAGUAAAGCGCAUUGCAGUGACUGAUGCGUGGUUGUUGCUGCAGAGCUGGGCACCUUCACUUCCCUGCACUCUUAGGGCCCAAUUGGCCCCAGGAACCAAGGCUUGAGCACUGGCAUUUCCUCCCACAGCAGGAGAAGCCAUAAUUUCCUGAGAGCAGUGAGAAGCAAGCCCAAGGAACUGGCUCCCGUCUGCCCCACCUGACCCAACAGGGCUGGACAGGGCUCAGGGAGACUCUUCAGGAACAAUGCUUAGUAGGCAGGAGGUCACAGGGGAGAGCAAACCUAGCCUCCCUUGAAGGAGGGUUGGGAGGAAGCAGGAGGGCUUCCCACCUUCAGUUCAAGGGACUCAAGAGUGAAAGGGUCUGUAGAUUCAGAAGUUGGUUGAUUUACAUAUUGACAAUAAGUAUAUACACUUAUUCCAAUGUUACACACAAUCCUUUAACUUUUACUAGUUCACACACUCAUAUGUUACCAUUUAAUGCUGGCGUGUGUGGGGACCAAUUUCCAUACAUGUCAUGAGGAUGUUCUAGGGGAAAUUAGCUUUCAACAUCAUAUGGAUCUCUUCCUCAAAACACUUAACUGCUAGCAUUUAUAGUGUUCUUACUCUGUGCCACUGUUCUAAAUGAUUUGUAUGUAAAAACCCAUUUAAUGUUCACAUCUAGCACAAGAGAUAGUGCUCCUAUUAUGUCCUUUCCACAGAGAAGAAACCUGAGUCAUAGACACCUUGUCUAUGGUCACACAGCUAGUACUUAGGAGAGGCGGGGCUUGAAUCUGGGCAGUCUGGCUCCAGAGCCACUGUUUUUUCUGGUCUCUUAAAAGUCUCUUGCUUUGUUGUGAGAGUGAUUCUGCCCGUCUUGUCACCAUCUGCCAUUUGGCUAGUGGGCUGGAUCCUGCUUUAUCUCCCUGCAGCCUGCUGGUCCUCUGGGUCUUCCUCUUUUCCCUCUACCUUUAUCCUUAUGGGAGCUGAUGAACACACCUCCGGGUUCUGGUCACUUCCCAUCCCUUCCUGCAUCUUCACUCUGACACUCUCACAGCCUUACACCUUCCCUGAGCCCCAGGCCAGGGAUGGGAACUUAGCUGGUUCUGUGGUCCCACUGGCCCACACAGCUGGGGCGGGCACAUCCCCAGGGGCUGGGAAGAGCAGGAGGACUAGGAAGGAAAAGGCUGGGGAGGGCAGCAGUGUGCAGCUUCAGUUCUGCGUCUUGGCUGCUGCCCUCUAGUGGCAGCCAGAGGAGCUGCAGAGGACCAAAGCCAGAGCUAGUUCAAGGCCUAUUGAAGGAGUUUUGAGAGACCGUGGGAGGCCUUAUCACCAGCGUUAAGUGUGUGGGCCAGGAGGGCACGCCAGGAGAACACACACACACACACACACACACACACACACACACACACAUUACACACAGAUGGAGACAAAGUCCACAUCGGCAUCUGGGCCUCUGCUGCCCCUGCCUGGCCUGGCCUGGUUGUGUGAGAGACACAGUGAAGUCAGAGACAGAUGGUGGCAGGCCUGGAGACCCAAGUCCCUCUUCCUUUCUGAUCUUCUUCUCCCCCUGUGGAGCUCCUUCCUGCCCCUUUCCCUGUCAGCACCCCAGCCCCAAAGGAAGCACAGUUAUGCCCCCCACUGUACCCUCACACAUACAAUGUCACUGAAUGAUAUCCCCUCUCCAAGAUGCCCAUGUCCUAGGGGAAAUUUUUCCUAGGAUGGUCUGUGUAAUCAGCAGCUUUAUUGUUUGACAUCUCACCCCUCUGGUCUUUGUUUUGCUGCAGCUUAGCCAGAGCAAAAUUUGGUUAAGAAACAAACCACAAACAAUGAAAAACAAUGACCCCUGCUAUGUUCACAUAAUCUAUACGUCCCAGGAGUCUAGGCCUCCUGACCCUGUUUCUCUGCUCUGCCUCCCCCACCCCAAACAGCUGCCCUGGUGUUCCUGGCACCCCUGUCACAUGCCUGGGGCCCCAACUCAAGUGGCUGAAUUAAAGGGCCUUCUAAUGACAAGUCCUCAAAGGGCUCUAUUAAUUGCCUUUCAUUAAGCUACUAGGCCUGAGAGGACCACGUGGGAGGUGAGGGUGAGGGGGUGAGGCUGGGGAAUAACAGGAAAGAAUAAGGUGGGGGAAGGGAAGCAGUCUGGGACUUCGUACAGAUCACGAGACCCUUGCUGACCUCUCUUUCUCUCUCUCUUGUCUCUCCCUGGCUCUGUCUGUCUCUGUGUGUGUGUGUGUGUGUGUGUGUGUGUGUCUCUCUCUCUCUCUCUCUCUCUCUCUCACGCGCGCACACACACACACACACACACACACACACACAGCAGAGCCCCUGAGCAGGGUUGUGGGGAAGCAGCCAGCUAACGGAAGCCCAACCAGGGCUGGGAGCUCCUCUCCAAGGAAGGAGGCAGCCCCAUUGGCCAGGACGGCAGAGAGCCAUUCGUUUGUGUCUGUCUUUAGCAUAACACAGAUCAUUGGAAUCAUGGCUGGAAUGUCUCCCCAUCUUUAUUCAAGCAGCUCUGAGUGGUCUACCAGACCAGGAAUUGCUGAUUAGAAGAAAAGAAACUGCUCUCUCUGACAAGCUAGCUCCCCUCCUUGGGGGGGGGGGGGGAGGGAAAAGGAUGAAAUGAAUAUAUCACAGAACUAAGGUUUUUCAGGACCAGGAGAUGGCUAGUUCUACCAUCCACUUCACAAAGCAGGCCA